UUUCCGUAGGUGAACCUGCGGAAGGAUCAUUAUCCAUCUUCAACCAGGUGCGGUCGCGGCCUCCAGGCAACUGGGUGGUUUCGCGCCGCAUUCCUGCAUCCUUUUUUUACGAGCACCUUUCGUUCUCCUUCGGCGGGGCAACCUGCCGUUGGAACCGAAUAAACUCUUUUUGCAUCUAGCAUUACCUGUUCCGAAACAAACAAUCGUUACAACUUUCAACAAUGGAUCUCUUGGCUCUGGCAUCGAUGAAGAACGCAGC
Molecule: unclassified non-coding RNA, 259 nt
Filed under: uncultured fungus
Lineage: Eukaryota; Fungi
Description: sequence contains ITS1, 5.8S rRNA gene
Rfam family: 5.8S ribosomal RNA (bases 211-259)
Source: RNAcentral